GACGAACGCUGGCGGCGUGCUUAACACAUGCAAGUCAAGGGGGCCCAGCAAUGGGCAACCGGCGAACGGGUGCGUAACACGUGAGCAACCUACCGAAAUGUGGGGGAUAGCCGGCCUAACGGCCGAGUAAUACCGCAUACGCUUUCAGAGAGGCAUUUCUUUGGAAGGAAACCUACGGGACAUUUCGAGGGGCUCGCGGCCUAUCAGCUAGUUGGCGAGGUAACGGCUCACCAAGGCAACGACGGGUAGCUGGUCUGAGAGGAUGGCCAGCCACAUUGGGACUGAGAUACGGCCCAGACUCCUACGGGAGGCAGCAGUGGGAAUCUUGCGCAAUGGCCUAACGGCUGACGCAGCGACGCCGCGUGUGGGAUGAAGCUCUUCGGAGUGUAAACCACUGUUGCCCGGGACGAAUAGCUCGAUUAAUCGAGCCUGACGGUACCGGGUGAGGAAGC
Molecule: ribosomal RNA, 452 nt
Filed under: uncultured bacterium
Lineage: Bacteria
Description: bacterial SSU rRNA
Rfam family: Bacterial small subunit ribosomal RNA
Source: RNAcentral